UAUUCUGCCCCACGGGGAAGGAUGAGAAGCUUCGACUAAGGUUCGACUCGAGCGAAGCGAGAGAACGUUGCUGCAGGCAACGGCCCGAAGGGCGAGGAGCGAUAGCGACGAGUUAUCCUUCCCCCACCACCA
RNAcentral lists this small RNA (132 nucleotides) under Klebsiella pneumoniae. Its description in RNAcentral is "RtT sRNA". It matches the Rfam family "RtT RNA". From Rfam's summary of the family: This family represents a bacterial cis-regulatory element known as RtT RNA. The exact function of RtT is unknown although it is thought that it may be involved in changing the cellular response in relation to amino acid starvation. The record is from RNAcentral. Lineage: Bacteria; Pseudomonadati; Pseudomonadota; Gammaproteobacteria; Enterobacterales; Enterobacteriaceae.